UACGACUACAUAUCAGGCAUAUCAAUAAGCGGAGGAAAAGAAACUAACAAGGAUUCCCUUAGUAACGGCGAGUGAAGCGGGAAGAGCUCAAAUUUGAAAUCUUCAAGGUUUUACCUUGACGAAUUGUAGUUUAAAGAAGUGUUUUCUGUUGAAGUUUUGGUAAAAGUUCUUUGGAAUAGGGACAUCAUAGAGGGUGAGAAUCCCGUAUUUGACAUUAUUCUUUCUAGCUGUGUGAUACACUUUUCAAAGAGUCGGAUUGUUUGGGAAUGCAGUCCAAGAUGGGUGGUAAAUUUCAUCUAAAGCUAAAUAUUGGCGAGAGACCGAUAGCGAACAAGUACCGUGAGGGAAAGAUGAAAAGAACUUUGAAAAGAGAGUUAAACAGUACGUGAAAUUGUCAGAAGGGAAGCGUUUGACACCAGUGUUGUUUUUCCGAAAAUCAAUUAAGAGUGGCUUGAUUUUGUGUUGUAUUGACCUUAUCAGCUUUCUUCACUCUUUUUCGAGUCUUUCUUAAUGCACUUUUCGGUUAACAAGUCAACAUCAAUUUCUUUUGUUGUAAAAGGGUAUUUGGAAGGUGGCUUUCUUUUCGGAGAAAGUGUUUAUAGCCUUAUACCUCUACAAUCGGAGAGAUUGAGGUCUGCAGCGUAGAUCCUUCGGGGCUAGAUACACUUGUGCUAAGUUAUAGCUUUUCAUAGACAACUUGUUGACUAUGUUUAGUCAUGUAGCUUACCCGCUUGCGCUAUUUUACCUACGCUUAGGAUGUAUCUCUCUCACACACACGAGGAGGUAGGAAAAGAGAGAGAUACAUCCUAAGCGUAGGUAAAAUAGCGCAAGCGGGUAAGCUACAUGACUAAACAUAGACAACUUGUUGACUAUGUUUAGUCAUGUAGCUUACCCGCUUGUGCUAUUUUACCUACGCUUAGGAUGUUGAUCUACAGAGCGAGAGU
This 944-nucleotide ribosomal RNA is filed under the name uncultured Neocallimastigales. RNAcentral's name for it is "partial large subunit ribosomal RNA". It matches the Rfam family "Eukaryotic large subunit ribosomal RNA", at positions 24 to 640 of the family's 3401-position model. Lineage: Eukaryota; Fungi; Neocallimastigomycota; Neocallimastigomycetes; Neocallimastigales. The record is from RNAcentral.